Molecule: small nuclear RNA, 23 nt
Filed under: Arabidopsis thaliana (thale cress)
Lineage: Eukaryota; Viridiplantae; Streptophyta; Magnoliopsida; Brassicales; Brassicaceae
Description: snRNA_16422
Source: RNAcentral
CAAAAGUGAAUAUUUUUGCGUAA